UUUCCGUAGGUGAACCUGCGGAAGGAUCAUU
RNAcentral lists this non-coding RNA (31 nucleotides) under Phytophthora capsici. RNAcentral also lists the same sequence under 136 other names. The record is from RNAcentral. Lineage: Eukaryota; Oomycota; Peronosporomycetes; Peronosporales; Peronosporaceae.